Molecule: small nucleolar RNA, 76 nt
Organism: Ochotona princeps (American pika)
Lineage: Eukaryota; Metazoa; Chordata; Mammalia; Lagomorpha; Ochotonidae
Gene: SNORD115
Rfam family: Small nucleolar RNA SNORD115
About the family: HBII-52 is a member of the C/D class of snoRNAs, which contain the C (UGAUGA) and D (CUGA) box motifs.
Source: Ensembl
GGGUCAAUUAUGAGACCUCAUACUGAGAAGAGGUAAUGACUUAAAAAUCGUACUCUGUAGAAUUACACUGAGGCCU